UUCAAGAGCUAUGUUUUUGCUGAUAUUGAGAAAUUUUAUUCAAAACAAAGAACUAGACAACAUCCAUGAUGGUAAUCAUAAGACAAGAUACUAGUAAUGUGACAAACGUCGCCUGAUUUUCAAAAUAUCAGCAGAAUUUAAAAUAUCACAUUUUUAUUGCAAUAAUAUUGUGAUAUUAACAGGAAAAAUAGUCAAAACCUUCACGAAUUUGUUAUUUAAGUAUAUAUUUAAAUUUUAAAUUAUUUAUUAAUUGACAAUAAAUGUUUUUAAAUCAUUUCUAUUUAUGGCAAGAUUUUCCCAAUAAGAUCCCCAGAAAAACCCCAAAUUUUAAAAAUCCCCUGCGAAAAUUCUGGCAGAGAAAUUGCUGAGAACAAGAUUUGUCACUGUGGCUAGUAGAAGGUUGAAGCUACUCCUCCAGCUAGAGAGAACCAACUCGUUUGCCUUGGUAGGAUCCAUAACCGUUAUCAGUAUGACAAACUCUAAUCUUGUAGAUCUGAAAUUGUUAUAUCAAAAGGGGUUCCAGUGCAAUAUAUCCAAAAAUAAAUCUCUUACAGGGAAAUAUUUCUCUGAAAUGCAUGUAACAUGCCCAUUGGAGCAUAUAAGAAAAACCAAAUGUCAUAAAAGAACAAGAUGACAUGCAUACGGAUUUAUUGCAAGUAUCUUUUU
This is a long non-coding RNA of Magnolia sinica, 666 nucleotides long. RefSeq lists it as uncharacterized. The record is from RefSeq and is a predicted model, not a curated record. Lineage: Eukaryota; Viridiplantae; Streptophyta; Magnoliopsida; Magnoliales; Magnoliaceae. The transcript has 2 exons.